UGGCUCAGACGGUAAAGCAUCUGCCUACAAUGCAGGAGACCUGGGUUCAAUCCCUG
Non-coding RNA from Ovis aries (sheep), 56 nucleotides. Lineage: Eukaryota; Metazoa; Chordata; Mammalia; Artiodactyla; Bovidae. The record is from Rfam.